This is a long non-coding RNA of Oryzias latipes (Japanese medaka), 373 nucleotides long. RefSeq lists it as uncharacterized. NCBI's taxonomy places the organism in Eukaryota, Metazoa, Chordata, Actinopteri, Beloniformes, Adrianichthyidae. The record is from RefSeq and is a predicted model, not a curated record.
AGCUGGCAGUAAAACGGCUCCGACACCAGCUCCUCCCCCAUCAGCAAUACAUCCUAGAUAAGAGGAGGAAAGGGGGGAGAUGGAAGGGGGACACAAAAAAAAAUCAUAAGAAACAUGUUGCCUAGCAACCCUUGAGUUGGAGACAUCCAGUGCUCCAGGGCUUUUGUUCCAGCCAAACACCUGAUGGUCAAUAUAAUUUAGACCCAGUGGAGGGGCGUCGGGCUGGUUCUGCCUCUAAUACGCAGCACUGAGUUUACUGCAGUCACAGCAGAUUUCGUGCUGGAGUUAUGGUGCAGCCUCACCUCCCAAGUGCCCUCAUAGUUCUGCUUCUUGAGGCGAACAGCCCAGUUAUCGAGGCAUGCGUCAAAGCAGU